This is a non-coding RNA of Dipodomys ordii (Ord's kangaroo rat), 70 nucleotides long. The record is from Rfam. Lineage: Eukaryota; Metazoa; Chordata; Mammalia; Rodentia; Heteromyidae.
GGGAAAGUGGCUCAGUGGUAGAGUGCUUGUCUUGCAUGCAUGAGGCCCUGGGUUCGAUUCCUCAGCACCA